RNAcentral lists this unclassified non-coding RNA (4207 nucleotides) under Haliotis rubra (blacklip abalone). Its description in RNAcentral is "uncharacterized LOC124274584, transcript variant X1". The record is from RNAcentral. Lineage: Eukaryota; Metazoa; Mollusca; Gastropoda; Lepetellida; Haliotidae.
GCAGUCUCAUCUAUCAUGAAGAAAAUGUUUACGAGUUCAGGCAGGAUGACACCACUGACCUCCGGCUGAAGGAUGAUGAUUAUGAUGCUCACUUUGUUCGGUUAAAUGGACAUGACAUGAAUGACACCGAUUCGGGGAAAGAUUAAGAGACAUCAAGAACAAAGAGUUUACCCCAGUACGUCGAAAACCAUCUAUGAGAAUGAAUUACGACAGCAUUAUGAGUCAGCAGAAAUAGGGAGAUCGGAGAAUUGGCCCGAUGUGUACAUUUCUGAUAAUUACAGCCAAAGGGAGGCAACUCAAAUACGGACAAACCCUGUUUAUGCUAACACAAAUUCAAGAGGUCAGUAUGUCUCACUACAAGAAAUAAAUGAGUCAACAAGGGACCGACCUCUAAACUUGGAGGAAUAUGUCAUACCAAAAAAUAGUGUUCCCGUGCACCAACAGAAUGGGAUUGACACCGUGGACACUGUCAUUGAGACGGAAGUAGAGGAACCAGUCUAUAGCAAGGUCAACAAGAAGAAGGUGGAGAAGACCAGAACCACCAGUAACGGCUCCAUGACCCCGGAGGAAGAGGAGGUAAUCCAGGACUUCCAGGAGCAGCUGAAGAUGCUGGAAGACAGGCAGUCACAUCUCAGCAACCGAGCCGUAAUACAGAUCGACCAAUCCAAGAAAGAAUCUGAUGGCAAGAAGGGGACGUGGUCACGUCUCAAAUCUAAACUGAAAGGCAGCGUUAGAAAAAAAAAGAAAGGCACUGACCAGUCUCGCCCUCCCCUGCUGACCCAGGCCAGUAUUGACCCCAACAAGAUGGCCAUCCUCAAGAGAAACGCUAAGGAGAAGUUGCCAGAGAACGAGAGCAAUGAAGUCAUCAGGCUGGUGGAAUCAUACCAUGAGAACAAGGAUCUGGACUCGCUGGUGAAGGCACUCCUGAAGAUACUGGACAAGCCAGAAAAGAUGCUUCUCCUCAGGGAUGUCAGGGGUGUUAUCUACCCGUACCACAUAGCACGCUUUGACAAUAUGGUCAACUUCUAUGAGAUAGAGCGAUACGAAGAUUUAUCUACCAAGCUGCAUCUGCCACUUCGUCAUCGAGAGAGUAUUAAGGAUCGGCCCAAGAAACAGCUCAUGACCACCGUGUUGGAUGAAAACGGUCACUUCCACAUCAAGACAGUAGAUCAGCAUGAGCAGGAUAAGAGGACAGCGUCCAAGGUUCUAGAGACCAUGAAGAGUCACUCAAGUUUCGACAAUCCCCAUCACGAUGCGGUCAAACCAGUUGCAGUCACACCCGUUGCAUCCCCACCAGUUGCGACGAAACCGAUCCAUCUCAAGGAGACGUCCGCCAUAACGUCAGAACACAAACCAACCAGUCCACAGCCGAUCCACUGGGUAAAGCUCAACCACGUCGCUGACAGUGGGCAGAAGUCUCCACUUGAGAGGGGGCCUUAUCGGUCAAGUUUUUCUACCACUUCGUAUCGAUGAAGUGCUAGUUGACACUGCAGCUGCAGAUGAAGAAAAACUCCAGCCUGGUGUGACGUUGAUAUCAGUGGACAGUCAGAGUCUCAAUGGGUUCAGUGUGGAUGACGGAGAGGAGCUGCUGGAGAAGGCCUUCAACAGCAAGGCCACCACCAUGGUGAAGCUGGAGAUUAACACGGACAAGCGUACUGCUUGACUCCCUAGAGUCUUCACCAACAAACAGUCGGACAACUUCAGCGGGCUGAAAUAAUGUGGUCUAACAUGUAUGGAAAAGUUACUGUUAAUUGUUUUUCCCUCGUUAGAUGAGGAUGAAAAUAAAAAACAACCUUUUCAAAAGGAGACUAAAACUUGAGACAUUUUAGACACCUUCAUUUGUCUAAUUCCUGUGUCCAUGUAUUUUUGUGACCAAGGUGAAGGUCAUUUUAGCCAUUGCACAGUGUUAGACUAUGGUGAUGUUACAUGAGGCAUCAGAGAAUAGAAUGCACCAUCAGUGAUCAAGAGAGCCAUGUUGUUUAGAGACAUUAUCAGAGUGGCCUCCAUGUGAUAUCUGAUUUAUUCCCAACAUGGGGUAUAAACAUCUAUGUUUGACAUGACCUAAUGUGUAUUGUACUACCCCACAACCAGACUAUGUGUGUCAACCCAUCCUUGGGGUGUAAACCAUCCUGUGUGUCAACCCAUCCUAGGGGUGUAAACCAUCCUGUGUGUCAACCAACCCAGGUGUGUCAACCAGCCUGGGUGCAUGUAAUAUAUAUCCUUCAAGCAGCCUGUGUGUCAACCAACCAAUGUGUGUAAUACAUAUCCUGCAAGUAGCCUUUGUGCCAUCCAACCAAUGUAUAUCAACCAACUAAUGUAUGUCAACCAACCAAUGUAUGUCAACCAACCAAUGUGUGUCAACCAACCAGUGUGUGCGUAAUACAUAUCCUUCAAGCAGCUUGAGUGCCAUUUAACCCAUGUGUGUCAAUCCCUCCCAUGUGUGUCAUCAAAAACGUGUGUCAAUCUACCACAUCCAUGUGUCUUAACUUACCGGGUAAGUAAGAAGUGUAACCCAACCUGCCUUUGUUAUCUCACAGUGUAACAAUGAAACCCUCCCUGUGUUAUCCCAAGCAAUGUAACACUUCCUUCAAGUGUUUUAUCCAACAUGGUGUCAUACUGUAACCCUCCCCAUCUGCAUGUUAUCCAACACCUCAUUAUCUGUGUUAUCCAACCUGGUAUAACAGUGCCUUCCCUACACAUGUUAUCGAACAUGGUGUAACAGUGUAACCCUUCCUGUGUAUUAUCCAACACCGUGUAAAUCUGUAACCUUACUAGUGUGUUAUCCUACACAGUAUAGCCUUCCUACAUGUGUUAUCAAUAUCAUACAUAGUGUAACAGUGUAAACCCAUUGUACAAGUACUUAGAGUAUGAGAGAAACAGUAGUAAAAUCCUAGCAACAGUAUAUGGUGAUCAAGUGUUACUAUGGUGAUGACAUGUACAGUGGUUUUAAGAGUUACCAUAGUGACAACUUGUACAAGGUCUUCUGUUGCCAUAGUCAUGUGUAGAGGAUGAGUCGAAACAAGACGUAAGUUGGUGUGAAGAAAGAGUACAUGGUAGGAAGACUUUACUUCAGUGACCAGACAACGUGUACCAGGUUCUGGAGGGUACAAACCAUCGCCCAACAGUGAGAGAAUGAACCCAUGGUACCAGCUGGACCACACAUCACACCACGUCUCCUAUGUGUCAGGAGGCUUGGGUCCAACAUAAGCAGCUUUGUAACCAUAUUUCCUGAAUUCCAGAGACCGUGUAUCUAGUGUCAGUUUCUUAACGUACCUGGGACCAUUGGCAAGAAAAUAUGUUCUGUAAUAGAUUAUGAAAGAUGAAUCAUCAUUAUUCCACAACUGAAAAAACAAGAAAAUCCUGUCAUCUACUGGUAUCGGCUUGUUGGUGGUGUGUUUUUUAUACAUCUAAAAAGGAAUACUACCAAAUCAUGCAGAUUUGUAUUAUUUGUUGAAAACCAGAAAUGAAAAUUUGUCGUGUUUGGAAACUGUAGUGAAUCUGUGAAGGUGGUUGAGCCUUGUGAAGAUGAAUCAUGAAUCAUGUACAUGAAUCACAUGUUAAUACAUUCCAUGUUAACUGAUAUAGCAUUAUUGUCUUGAAAAGUGUGAUGUAUCGUACUAAUUAGCAGAUAUUAAUGACAUAUACUGAACAAAACAGGGAUCAUAAAUAUCUUGGGAAAUAUUUUUAUAAACUUUUGUGAUCAGGUUUCACUACAAAGUCGUUUCCUCUUAAAUAUUCAUAAUUCUGUUUUUUGUUCAGGGUAUUUAUUUUUUAAGUGCAUAACUCACACAUAAGUCAUGUUUUAGGGUAUAAUGUUCUGAGUUUGAUAUUGUUCUUGUUUACUCAUCACUGAACAGGUGCUUGAGAGGAAGGUGCUGUAGAUAGUAACCAGUGUUUUCAUGUGUACAGUUUUAAUAGUCACAGUAGCAUGUCAGGAAUUAAUGAGAUGAUUGAAAAAUGCAGAAUUCUUCAUUUAUAUCUUUAUAUAUUAGAAACUCAUCACAAACAUUAUUGGGUGGUGUUACAGAUACGACAAGUAUGUGUAAGAAAUUCUUAUUAUGUUUUCAACAUGACUUGCGCAUCAAUCAUUCCGUGCAUGUUGUUUUAAAUAUAUUUAUUGAUUUUUAUUGAAUGUUUCUGCACAUUCCAUGAUAAUCAUUUUCAGGGUUGUGGUGUUAUUCCUUGCAAUAAAAGUCAAGGAAGUGUU